This 562-nucleotide unclassified non-coding RNA is filed under the name Zea mays. RNAcentral's name for it is "misc RNA Zm00001eb254620". The record is from RNAcentral. Lineage: Eukaryota; Viridiplantae; Streptophyta; Magnoliopsida; Poales; Poaceae.
CUAUUGUAGAAUUGUUUUGUUUGUUUCCCGUUUUCUUUAUAGAGCACGUGGGAGAGCGCCGCAGCUGCUGCGGCUGUGGCGGAUGUGGCGGCCAUGGCGUGGCGACCUGUGGCAAAUGGCGGCAUGAAGAAGAAGCUGAUUUGAGGAGUCGUCGCUGGACUGGGAGAAGUACAUGAAGGACAAUAACAAAAUUCUCGGAGAAUUUGAGUGCCUUGACAAAUCACCAUUUAGAUACUUUCUUGGGGAACUAUAUGGUGGCAAUUCACUGGGAAGCACAAUUGCAGUGGGCAAUGAGAAGAAGCGGCAGCGGGUGUACAACACUAUGUUUCAUGUCCCAUGGAGAUGUGAACGGGGAAAUUCAGAGUCGUGUUCGCCUCAAUUCCUGCACCCAUCUUUGCAGCUCUAUAUUGUUCAACAAAAGAUUUGGAAGAGGAGGUCACCGAAGGGAAGAGGCUUCCUCUCGAGGAGGUGGAAGAGAACGCAUGCAUCAGCCACUGAACAGAACAAGCAGGCGAUUUUUUUGUGUGGAUGGCGUCUGCCACAAAAGGAUUGAAUCGAGGAG